This 484-nucleotide ribosomal RNA is filed under the name uncultured bacterium. RNAcentral's name for it is "partial 16S ribosomal RNA". It matches the Rfam family "Bacterial small subunit ribosomal RNA", at positions 30 to 507 of the family's 1533-position model. The record is from RNAcentral.
AUUGAACGCUGGCGGCAGGCCUAACACAUGCAAGUCGAGCGGAUGAAGGGAGCUUGCUCCUGGAUUCAGCGGCGGACGGGUGAGUAAUGCCUAGGAAUCUGCCUGGUAGUGGGGGAUAACGUCCGGAAACGGGCGCUAAUACCGCAUACGUCCUGAGGGAGAAAGUGGGGGAUCUUCGGACCUCACGCUAUCAGAUGAGCCUAGGUCGGAUUAGCUAGUUGGUGGGGUAAAGGCCUACCAAGGCGACGAUCCGUAACUGGUCUGAGAGGAUGAUCAGUCACACUGGAACUGAGACACGGUCCAGACUCCUACGGGAGGCAGCAGUGGGGAAUAUUGGACAAUGGGCGAAAGCCUGAUCCAGCCAUGCCGCGUGGGUGAAGAAGGUCUUCGGAUUGUAAAGCACUUUAAGUGGGGAGAAAGGGCAGUAAGUUAAUACCUUGCUGUUUUGACGUUACCAACAGAAUAAGCACCGGCUAACUUCGUG